GCUCAAAUUUGAAAGCUGGUACCUUCGGUAUCCGCGUUGUAACCUCGAGACACGUUUUCCGUGCGGCGCUAUGGACAAGUUCCUUGGAACAGGACAUCGUAGAGGGUGAAAAUCCCGUACUUGCCAUGGAUGUACCGUGCUUUGCGAUACGUGCUCUAAGAGUCGAGUUGUUUGGGAUUGCAGCUCAAAAUGGGUGGUAGACUCCAUCUAAAGCUAAAUAUCGGGGAGAGACCGAUAGCGAACAAGUACCGUGAGGGAAAGAUGAAAAGCACUUUGGAAAGAGAGUUAAAAGUACGUGAAAUUGUCGAAAGGGAAGCGCUUGAAGUCAGCCAUGCCGCUCAGGACUCAGCCUGGCUUUUGCUUGGUGUAUUUCCUGGGUAGCAAGUCAGCAUUGGUUUGGAUCGUCGGAGAAGCAUAGUCGGAAUGUGGCGCCCUCGGGCGUGUUAUAGCCUUCUAUUGGAUACGACGAUCUAGACCAAGGAACGCAGCGCGCCUUAUGGCGGGUCUUCGGACACCUUCGCGCUUAGGAUGCUGGCGUAAUGGCUUUAAGUGGCCCGUCUUGAA
This 564-nucleotide ribosomal RNA is filed under the name Malassezia furfur. Its description in RNAcentral is "eukaryotic LSU rRNA". It matches the Rfam family "Eukaryotic large subunit ribosomal RNA", at positions 107 to 658 of the family's 3401-position model. The record is from RNAcentral. Lineage: Eukaryota; Fungi; Basidiomycota; Malasseziomycetes; Malasseziales; Malasseziaceae.